GAUGAACGCUGGCGGCGUGCCUAAUACAUGCAAGUCGAGCGAACAGACGAGGAGCUUGCUCCUUCGACGUUAGCGGCGGACGGGUGAGUAACAAGUAGGUAACCUACCUAUAAGACUGGGAUAACUUCGGGAAAACGGAGCUAAUAACGGCGAAUAUUUCGAACCGCAUGGUUCGAUAGUGAAAGAUGGCUUUGCUGUCUCUUUUAGAUGGACCUGCGCCGUAUUAGCUAGUUGGUAAGGUAACGGCUUACCAAGGCAACGAUCCGUAGCCGAUCUGAGAGGGUGAUCGGCCACACUGGAACUGAGACACGGUCCAGACUCCUACGGGAGGCAGCAGUGGGGAAUCUUGCGCAAUGGGCGCAAGCCUGACGGAGCAACGCCGCGUGAGUGAUGAAGGUCUUCGGAUCGUAAAACUCUUUUAUUAGGGAAGAACAAACGUGUAAGUAACUGUGCACGUCUUGACGGUACCUAAUCAGAAAGCCACGGCUAACUACGUG
Molecule: ribosomal RNA, 497 nt
Filed under: uncultured bacterium
Lineage: Bacteria
Description: partial 16S ribosomal RNA
Rfam family: Bacterial small subunit ribosomal RNA
Source: RNAcentral